UACAGAGGCCUCGAGCGUUAAUCGGAAUCACUGGGCUUAAAGGGUGCGUAGGCGGAGCGGUAAGUGCCUUGUGAAAUCCCAUGGCUUAACCAUGGAAUUGCUCGGUAGACUAUCGUUCUUGAGGUAGGUAGGGGUCACUGGAACUCUAGGUGGAGCGGUGAAAUGCGUAGAUAUCUAGAGGAACGCCGAUGGUGAAGACAGGUGACUGGGCCUAUUCUGACGCUGAGGCACGAAAGCGUGGGGAGCAAACGGG
RNAcentral lists this ribosomal RNA (253 nucleotides) under uncultured bacterium. Its description in RNAcentral is "partial 16S ribosomal RNA". It matches the Rfam family "Bacterial small subunit ribosomal RNA", at positions 524 to 776 of the family's 1533-position model. The record is from RNAcentral.